Molecule: ribosomal RNA, 253 nt
Filed under: uncultured bacterium
Lineage: Bacteria
Description: partial 16S ribosomal RNA
Rfam family: Bacterial small subunit ribosomal RNA
Source: RNAcentral
UACGGAGGGUGCAAGCGUUGUCCGGAUUUAUUGGGUUUAAAGGGUGCGUAGGCGGCCCGUUAAGUCAGCGGUGAAAUCCCGGGGCUCAACCCCGGAACUGCCGUUGAUACUGGCGGGCUUGAGUUCGGUCGAGGCGGGCGGAACUGGUGGUGUAGCGGUGAAAUGCUUAGAUACCCUCAAGAACACCGAUUGCGUAGGCAGCUAACUAGGCCAUAACUGACGCUGAGGCACGAAAGCGUGGGGAGCGAACAGG